Molecule: ribosomal RNA, 322 nt
Filed under: uncultured eukaryote
Lineage: Eukaryota
Description: partial 18S ribosomal RNA
Rfam family: Eukaryotic small subunit ribosomal RNA
Source: RNAcentral
CCCUUAGAUGUUCUGGGCCGCACGCGUGCUACACUGAGUGGAUCAGCGGGUCAGGUUGCGCGAAAGUGUUUCCUUAUCUUGAAAUCCGCUCGUGAUGGGGAUUGACGGUUGCAAUUUUCCGUCAUGAACGAGGAAUACCUUGUAAGCGCGGGUCAUCAUCCCGCGCUGAAUACGUCCCUGCCCUUUGUACACACCGCCCGUCGCUCCUACCGAUUGAGUGGUCCGGUGAGGCUUUGGGAUCUGAGCGGAAAGAGCGUUUCGCUGUUUCUGCUCGGAAAACCCAGUCGAACCUUAUCAUUUAGAGGAAGGAGAAGUCGUAACA